This is a non-coding RNA of Fusarium graminearum PH-1, 74 nucleotides long. Lineage: Eukaryota; Fungi; Ascomycota; Sordariomycetes; Hypocreales; Nectriaceae. The record is from the annotation of a RefSeq genome assembly.
GGUUUUGUGGCCUAGUUGGCUAUGGCAUCUCUUUAACAUCGAGAAGUUCCCCGGUUUAAUCCCGGGCGGAACCA